This 709-nucleotide ribosomal RNA is filed under the name uncultured bacterium. RNAcentral's name for it is "bacterial SSU rRNA". It matches the Rfam family "Bacterial small subunit ribosomal RNA", at positions 69 to 769 of the family's 1533-position model. The record is from RNAcentral.
AAGAGGUAAGCUUGCUUACUUCUUAGUGGCGAACGGGUGAGUAAUACAUAAGCAAUCUGCCCAUAUGCCUGGGAUAACCGUUGGAAACGAUGGCUAAUACCGGAUAGGUGAAUUGAAGGCAUCUUUGAUUCAUUAAAGUUGGGAAACAACACAUAUGGAUGAGCUUAUGGCGCAUUAGCUAGUUGGUGAGGUAACGGCUCACCAAGGCGAUGAUGCGUAGCCGACCUGAGAGGGUGACCGGCCACACUGGGACUGAGACACGGCCCAGACUCCUACGGGAGGCAGCAGUAGGGAAUUUUCGGCGAUGGGGGAAACCCUGACCGAGCAACGCCGCGUGAGUGAAGAAGGCCUUCGGGUUGUAGAGCUCUGUUGUAAGGGAAGAAGAGAUCAUAGAGGGAAUGCUAUGAUUGUGACGGUACCUUACCAGAAAGCCACGGCUAACUACGUGCCAGCAGCCGCGGUAAUACGUAGGUGGCGAGCGUUAUCCGGAAUUAUUGGGCGUAAAGGGUGCGUAGGCGGCGCAUUAAGUCUAAGGUUAAAGUUCGAGGCUCAACUUCGGAUUGCCUUAGAAACUGGUGAGCUACAGUGCAGGAAAGGGCAAUGGAAUUCCAUGUGUAGCGGUAAAAUGCGUACAUAUAUGGAGGAACACCAGUGGCGAAGGCGGUUGCCUGGCCUGUAACUGACGCUGACGCACGAUAGCGUGGGGAGC